GACAGAGGGUGCAACCGUUGUUCGGAAUUACUGGGCGUAAAGCGCGUGUAGGCUGCUUGGAAAGUCGGAUGUGAAAGCCCUGGGCUCAACCUAGGAAGUGCAUUCGAAACUUCUGAGCUGGAGUGCUGGAGAGGAAGGCGGAAUUCUCGGUGUAGAGGUGAAAUUCGUAGAUAUCAGGUGGAACACCAGUGGCGAAGGCGGCUUUCUGGACGAUAACUGACGCUGAGACGCGAAAGCGUGGGGAGCAAACAGG
Molecule: ribosomal RNA, 253 nt
Filed under: uncultured bacterium
Lineage: Bacteria
Description: partial 16S ribosomal RNA
Rfam family: Bacterial small subunit ribosomal RNA
Source: RNAcentral